Pseudophryne corroboree (corroboree frog) is the source of this 1970-nucleotide long non-coding RNA. RefSeq lists it as uncharacterized. The transcript is spliced from 4 exons. NCBI's taxonomy places the organism in Eukaryota, Metazoa, Chordata, Amphibia, Anura, Myobatrachidae. The record is from RefSeq and is a predicted model, not a curated record.
AAGAGGCAUAUGGAUCCCAGGAAGAGAGCUGGCUUGUGCUGUGGCAGCUACAGACGUGUUCUGGGACAGUUGGCAGUUGAGUGGCGGCCAUCAUAGAGGACAGGAGGAGCUGAGAGACAAGGCCGGCGCUGCUGUGAUUCCUUGCCAGGGAGAUAGGACAGAGACACGUCUCUCUCGAGUAGGGUAGAGUCAGAGACCCUGAGAGACAGCUCCAUAGUGGCAGAGCCCACCAUACUUCCAGCAACAGUGUGAGUGACAGCACCAGGAGGCCCUCUGAGAGAAGUAGCUGGCUGGAGGAAGGAGCAGCCUCUUUGACAGUGUCUACAGUACAAGCAACCAGAGAGCGCUGCCCACCUGUGUGUUCAGGGUGCCUGCAGCCGCGUCCCCAUGGCAACCCCGGGGCUGGAGCGCAAGCCGGGUGCUGCUAUGGCAACAGCUGGAAGUCACGGCCAGGAAGUGUGUCAUUGUGCAGGGAAUUGGACUACAGGUGCGUCCAGGUGCGGGUGAGCGGCGCUGAUCAGGGAGAGUUAAGAAGGGGAAUUUAUCUAACCCAUUCUUAAAGGUGUUGACUGAGUCCGCUGUUACUACUCUCUCAGGCUGGGAAUUCCAAACACGUAUUGUCCUUACUGUGAAAAAACCUUUUUGCCUCAAUUUGCGGAAACUCCUCUCCUCUAACCUAACAUUACACAAAACCUGUCACGAUCCGGGUAUCUGGACGCCAUUACUUGCCUUUUAGAUGUCUCCUGAGGCUGGCUCAGCGUUCCAGAGCCGGAUCUCAACUGUGUUACUGAUGUCCACACUCUGCAUCUCCCUCCUGUCACUCUGAGACACUGUCACAGCGGCGCCAUGUUUGAUUUCUGUAUGGCGUCUCCCGUCCUCCGCGGCCUCCGCCGCCGUUCCUGUGUUCCAGUAUACAGGUUGUCAUAGUGAUGUCUCAUGCCUGCCGCGGCCUUCGCUGUCAUCCAUGUGUCCCAGUGUGCAGUUGUCAGUUUGGCAUCUUCUGUCCUCCGCGGCCUGCGCCGCCAUUGCUGCUGUGUUUCCACAUGGUUUUCCAAACCAACUUUCUCUCCAAGUACUAACAUGGGUGCAGCCAUGUUGGUUUCAGUCACAUGUUCAAUCUCCACCAAUCCGCUGCGCUGUGGAAUCUGCAUGAUUGAUCAGCCAAUGCCUGCAUUGCAGCAGGUAUGAAUAUCCUGUGCCUGAACCAGGAAAUGGUCAGUGCUUUGGUUGUCAAACCUAGUUCCAGUCUCUCUCUCCUGUGGUUGUUUCUCCAGGUUUCCAGCUCCUGUCUCCAGCCUCCACUAAGAGACCCGCACCUGCUUUCCAUCCUGCAGUGCAGCCUGACUCUGCAGUCCUCCGUGGCUAUUCCAGCUUCCAGCUAUUAACCCAUCUGCUUCCAGCGGUUAGCUUCCAGCAGUAUCCAGCUUCUUUAAAGUGCCGGUGUUGUUCCAGCGGAUCCCUACUUACCAGCAGUCUCCACUAACCACCGGUAACCACUUUUCAACUCUCCUGUUUCCACGCUCUCUAGCAUCAUACAGCAUCCACUCCGUGACUUCAUCACCUGGCUGGUUCCAUCCAGCAUCCACUCCGUGACUUCAUCACCUGGCUGGUUCCAUCCAGCAUCCACUCCGUGUCUUCAUCACCUGGCUGAUUCCAUUCAGCGUCCACUCCGUGUUUCUACCACCUGGCUGGUUCUAUCCAGUAUCUACAACAGUCUGUUCAAGUUACCAGCUUUACCUAUUACACCUGCUGGCGUGUUCCUCGGCUACGUUCACUACUACAGACAGGCCUGGUAAGGAUAUUCCAUCAAUGGGACUUUAACAUCUGUUCCUCAACCUACCAGUGCUCUGUGGCGCCUCUCAAGGUUAUAGUGAUCCAGGAACUGUUUUAUUUAUCUCUGCUUAUUAUUAUCUUUGAUUACUGUUGUAUCAACACGGAGUCUGUUAAUAAAUCUUUUAUUGACUUUUAAA